RNAcentral lists this ribosomal RNA (310 nucleotides) under Vibrio splendidus. RNAcentral's name for it is "bacterial LSU rRNA". It matches the Rfam family "Bacterial large subunit ribosomal RNA", at positions 1 to 306 of the family's 2925-position model. Lineage: Bacteria; Pseudomonadati; Pseudomonadota; Gammaproteobacteria; Vibrionales; Vibrionaceae. The record is from RNAcentral.
GUUGUAUGGUUAAGUGACUAAGCGUACACGGUGGAUGCCUUGGCAGUCAGAGGCGAUGAAGGACGUAUUAACUUGCGAUAAGCCCAGAUUAGACAGUAAAAGUCAUUUGAGUCUGGGAUUUCCGAAUGGGGAAACCCACUUACAUAAGUAAGUAUCUUGUUGUGAAUACAUAGCAGCAAGAGGCAAACCGGGGGAACUGAAACAUCUAAGUACCCCGAGGAAGAGAAAUCAACCGAGAUUCCGAAAGUAGCGGCGAGCGAAAUUGGAUUAGCCCUUAAGCUUUUAAUGAGACAGACGAAGGCUCUGGAAA